Molecule: ribosomal RNA, 1107 nt
Filed under: uncultured fungus
Lineage: Eukaryota; Fungi
Description: eukaryotic LSU rRNA
Rfam family: Eukaryotic large subunit ribosomal RNA (bases 475-1107)
Source: RNAcentral
AGUCGUAACAAGGUUUCCGUAGGUGAACCUGCGGAAGGAUCAUUACCGAGCUCCUGCCCCUCGGGGUAGAGACGCCACCCUUGUGUACCGGACAGUUGUUGCUUUGGCGGGCCCGCCCGCCAGAGACCCCAAACCCUGAGUGUUAGUGUCGUCGGAGUACUAUACAAUAGUUAAAACUUUCAACAACGGAUCUCUUGGUUCUGGCAUCGAUGAAGAACGCAGCGAAAUGCGAUAAGUAAUGUGAAUUGCAGAAUUCAGUGAAUCAUCGAAUCUUUGAACGCACAUUGCGCCCCCCGGCAUUCCGAGGGGCAUGCCUGUUCGAGCGUCAUAAUAGCCAAUCCAGCCCCGCUGGGUCUUGGGCUCGCCGGUAGGCGUCCCUCAAAGCCAGUGGCGGCGCCGCCCGGCUCCCGAGCGUAAUACAACCCCUCGCUACGGGACCCAGGCGCGCGCCCGCCAGCAACCCCCUUCUACGGUUGACCUCGGAUCAGGUAGGGAUACCCGCUGAACUUAAGCAUAUCAAUAAGCGGAGGAAAAGAAACCAACAGGGAUUACCUCAGUAACGGCGAGUGAAGCGGUAACAGCUCAAAUUUGAAAUCUGGCCCGUUCGCAGGCCCGAGUUGUAAUUUGUAGAAGAUGCUUUGGGUGCGGCACCGGCCUAAGUUCCUUGGAACAGGGCGUCAUAGAGGGUGAGAAUCCCGUAUGCGGCCGGCGGCCUGCGCCCGUGUAAAGCUCUUUCGACGAGUCGAGUUGUUUGGGAAUGCAGCUCAAAAUGGGUGGUAAAUUUCAUCUAAAGCUAAAUAUUGGCCAGAGACCGAUAGCGCACAAGUAGAGUGAUCGAAAGAUGAAAAGCACUUUGGAAAGAGGGUUAAACAGUACGUGAAAUUGUUGAAAGGGAAGCGCUUGCAGCCAGACUCGCGGGCCGUCGCUCACCCGGUGUUCUCACCGGGGCACUCGACGGCCCACGGGCCAGCAUCGGUUCGGGCGGCUGGACAAAGGUCGCGGGAAUGUGGCUCCCCCGGGAGCGUUAUAGCCCGCGGCGCAAUGCAGCCUGCCAGGACCGAGGACCGCGCUUCGGCUAGGAUGCUGGCGUAAUGGCUGUAAGCGACC